Molecule: small nuclear RNA, 141 nt
Organism: Callithrix jacchus (white-tufted-ear marmoset)
Lineage: Eukaryota; Metazoa; Chordata; Mammalia; Primates; Cebidae
Gene: U4
Rfam family: U4 spliceosomal RNA
About the family: U4 small nuclear RNA (U4 snRNA) is a component of the major U2-dependent spliceosome. The structure of U4 snRNA from yeast and human has been reported.
Source: Ensembl
AGCUUUGCGCAGUGGCAGUAUCGUAGCCAAUGAGGUUUAUCCAAGGCACGAUUAUUGCUAACUGAAAACUUUUCCCAAUACCCCGCCAUGACGACUUGAAAUAUAGUUGGCAUUGGCAAUUUUUGACAGUCUCUAUGGAGA